This 238-nucleotide ribosomal RNA is filed under the name uncultured bacterium. RNAcentral's name for it is "partial 16S ribosomal RNA". It matches the Rfam family "Bacterial small subunit ribosomal RNA", at positions 96 to 334 of the family's 1533-position model. The record is from RNAcentral.
CGGCGGACGGGUGAGUAACGCGUGGGUAACCUGCCUCAUACAGGGGGAUAACAGUUAGAAAUGACUGCUAAUACCGCAUAAGACCACGGUACCGCAUGGUGCAGUGGUAAAAACUCCGGUGGUAUGAGAUGGACCCGCGUCUGAUUAGGUAGUUGGUGGGGUAACGGCCUACCAAGCCGACGAUCAGUAGCCGACCUGAGAGGGUGACCGGCCACAUUGGGACUGAGACACGGCCCAG